RNAcentral lists this ribosomal RNA (735 nucleotides) under uncultured bacterium. RNAcentral describes it as "bacterial SSU rRNA". It matches the Rfam family "Bacterial small subunit ribosomal RNA", at positions 90 to 819 of the family's 1533-position model. The record is from RNAcentral.
GACGAGUGGCGGACGGGUGAGUAACGCGUGGGAACAUGCCUAUUAGUUGGGGACAACCUGUGGAAACGCAGGCUAAUACCGAAUACGUUCUAUGGAAUAAAGGUGGCCUCUACUUGUACGCUAUCGCUAAUAGAUUGGCCCGCGUUGGAUUAGCUGGUUGGUGGGGUAAAAGCCUACCAAGGCGACGAUCCAUAGCUGGUUUGAGAGGAUGAUCAGCCACACUGGGACUGAGACACGGCCCAGACUCCUACGGGAGGCAGCAGUGGGGAAUAUUGGACAAUGGGCGCAAGCCUGAUCCAGCAAUGCCGCGUGUGUGAAGAAGGCCCGAGGGUUGUAAAGCACUUUCAAUUGUGAAGAAGGGGUUGUAGUUAAUAAGUGCAAUCAUUGACGUUAACAAUAGAAGAAGCACCGGCUAACUCUGUGCCAGCAGCCGCGGUAAUACAGAGGGUGCAAGCGUUAAUCGGAAUUACUGGGCGUAAAGCGCGCGUAGGUGGUUUGAUAAGUUGGAUGUGAAAUCCCCGGGCUUAACCUGGGUCGGUCAUUCAAAACUGUCAGACUAGAGUAUGGUAGAGGGUAGUGGAAUUCCUAGUGUAGCGGUGAAAUGCGUAGAUAUUAGGAGGAACACCAGUGGCGAAGGCGACUGCCUGGACUGAUACUGACACUGAGGUGCGAAAGCGUGGGUAGCGAACAGGAUUAGAUACCCUGGUAGUCCACGCUGUAAACGAUGACAACUAG